GAUUGCGAAGGCAGCUCACUGGACUGUUGACUGACACUGAGGCUCGAAAGUGUGGGUAUCAAACAGGAUUAGAUACCCUGGUAGUCCACACAGUAAACGAUGAAUACUCGCUGUUUGCGAUAUACAGCAAGCGGCCAAGCGAAAGCAUUAAGUAUUCCACCUGGGGAGUACGCCGGCAACGGUGAAACUCAAAGGAAUUGACGGGGGCCCGCACAAGCGGAGGAACAUGUGGUUUAAUUCGAUGAUACGCGAGGAACCUUACCCGGGCUUAAAUUGCAUUUGAAUAUAGUGGAAACAUUAUAGCCGUAAGGCAAAUGUGAAGGUGCUGCAUGGUUGUCGUCAGCUCGUGCCGUGAGGUGUCGGCUUAAGUGCCAUAACGAGCGCAACCCUUAUCUUCAGUUACUAACAGGUCAUGCUGAGGACUCUGGAGAGACUGCCGUCGUAAGAUGUGAGGAAGGUGGGGAUGACGUCAAAUCAGCACGGCCCUUACGUCCGGGGCUACACACGUGUUACAAUUGGGGGUACAGAAGGCAGCUACCGGGCGACCGGAUGCCAAUCCCAAAAACCUCUCUCAGUUCGGAUCGAAGUCUGCAACCCGACUUCGUGAAGCUGGAUUCGCUAGUAAUCGCGCAUCAGCCAUGGCGCGGUGAAUACGUUCCCGGGCCUUGUACACACCGCCCGUCAAGCCAUGAAAGCCGGGGGUACCUGAAGUACGUAACCGCAAGGAGCGUCCUAGGGUAAAACUGGUAAUUGGGGCUAAGUCGUAACAAGGUAGCCGUACCGGAAGGUGCGGCUG
Molecule: ribosomal RNA, 796 nt
Filed under: Bacteroides acidifaciens
Lineage: Bacteria; Pseudomonadati; Bacteroidota; Bacteroidia; Bacteroidales; Bacteroidaceae
Description: bacterial SSU rRNA
Rfam family: Bacterial small subunit ribosomal RNA
Source: RNAcentral